GGGGCAACGUGCGCAGUUCCCUUCAGUGUGUGGAAGCUUUGUUCUUUUGCUCUUCACCAUAAAUCUUGCUGCUGCUCACUGUUUGGGUCUGCACCACCUUUAAGAGCUGUAACACUCACCAUGAAGGUCUGCAGCUUCAUUCUUGAAGUCAGUGAGACCACGAACCCACUGGAAGGAACCAACUCCAGACACAACAGUGCACUGGGUCUGACCCUUGGGAAGAAUCCAGCACGAGAAAGCAACCCCAAAGAAACACUCGCAAUUCAGUGCCGACGUGGCCGAGGCCAUUGCCUUCUUUGACUCCAUCAUUGCAGAGCUGGAUACAGAGAGACGGCCCCGGGCUGCCGAGGCCAGCCUGCCAAAUGAAGAUGUGGACUUUGACGUGGCCACCAGCUCCAGGGAGCACAGCUUGCAUUCUAACUGGAUCCUGCGGGCGCCACGCAGACACUCUGAGGAUAUCACUGCCCACACUGUGCAUACUGUAGACGGCCAGUUUCGAAGGAGCACCGAGUGCAGGACCGUGGGCACUCAGAGGAGACUCGAGAGGCACCCCAUUUAUUUGCCCAAGGCUGUGGAAGGGGCCUUCAACACCUGGAAAUUUAAGCCCAAAGCCUGCAAACAAGACCUGGGGAGCCCCAGACAGAUCCUUUUCAACUUCUCAGGAGAAGAUAUGGAGUGGGAUGCAGAGCUUUUUGCGUUGGAGUCCCAGCUGUCUCCUGGGGAGAACUACUAUGAGACAGAGAACCCCAAAGGACAGUGGCUGCUUCGAGAAAGACUUUGGGAGCGGACAGUGCCCUGACUCCAUCUGGAUUCCUUGACGUGUCUCAGGCUGGGUCCCUGAGAAGCUGUCUGCUUUCAGCGCAGCAUGAGGUAUUUGGUAGAGUUGAAAAUCCAAAUUGUAACACAGUCAACCCACUCAGCACACUGCCUGCUGGUGCCAUGCUAGUGCCAAACAGACCUGUGGCUUCCCAGGAUACAGGUCUCAGGACACUCUCAGAGCUUGAGUUUCUCUGCGUGGGCUGAUGAGCAGGGACUUACAGCCUGGCUGGUCUUCAAGAGCUGAAGGAAUGGAAGGUCUUGAGUGGAGUGUCUGGGCUCACUCCCCUGACCUCACCUGGCCUGGUCCUCAUUCUCCACAUGUCUGUCCAAGUGGCUGCUAGCAAUGUGCUCAGUACCAGAAAUGAACUCACCUGUAGAUUUCUGGGCCAAAGCUUCAAAGAGGUAGCUCCUCUUUCUAUGAGGCUCAGAGACACGCUGGAUCUGCACUGAGGUUGCCUUCUUGUGUGCAGAAUGCAGUUGAGAAAGCAGCUCCCUUUGCUCUCUUUUCAGAGUUUUUCAGAAACUCCUGCUUCAUUAAGCUAAGAUGAGGCUAAUGCCCUGGCAAUGGGGUGAGGGAAGAGGUAUGUCACGAGCCUGCCUGGGGGCCACACUGUUUCCUCAGGCCCCAAAACUCAGCUCCCCUUCACCUAGGCAAUUGACAAGAGAAGAAGGGAGAUGGGGUGAUUCUUUUUCUUUUUCUUCUAAUUCUUACCCAGAAAAAUCUUUUUAAAUAUCCACGGAACCAGUUUAUGACAGGCCACGCCUUUCCCUUUCCCCAGUUAAGAGAACAAUCAGAAUCAUUACGUUCUUUUGGUAUAGAAAGGAUUUCUGUAUUUUAGGAACUAUCUGAAUCAGAAUUACAUUUAAAAUAUAUUCUUUGUAUUUCUAAAUACUUUUUACAUUUUUGCAAUAGUUGUGCCCAU
Molecule: small RNA, 1742 nt
Filed under: Pongo abelii (Sumatran orangutan)
Lineage: Eukaryota; Metazoa; Chordata; Mammalia; Primates; Hominidae
Description: processed transcript
Source: RNAcentral